CCUGGGGAGUAUGGCCGCAAGGCUGAAACUCAAAGGAAUUGACGGGGGCUCACACAAGCGGUGGAGGAUGUGGCUUAAUUCGAGGCUACGCGAAGAACCUUAUCCUAGACUUGACAUGCUUAAGAAUCUUCUGGAAACAGAGGAGUGCCCUUCGGGGAGCUUUUGCACAGGUGCUGCAUGGCUGUCGUCAGCUCGUGUCGUGAGAUGUUGGGUUAAGUCCCUUAACGAGCGAAACCCCUAUCUUUAGUUGCCAGCGGGUAAUGCCGGGGACUCUAAAGAGACUGCCGGUGUCAAACCGGAGGAAGGUGGGGAUGACGUCAAGUCCUCAUGGCCCUUAUGUUUAGGGCUGCACACGUCCUACAAUGGUACGUACAAAGGGAAGCCAAGCCGCGAGGCCGAGCUAAUCCCAAAAAGCGUGCCUCAGUUCGGAUUGUAGGCUGCAAUUCGCCUACAUGAAGCUGGAAUCGCUAGUAAUCGCGGUCAGCAUACCGCGGGAA
RNAcentral lists this ribosomal RNA (497 nucleotides) under uncultured bacterium. Its description in RNAcentral is "bacterial SSU rRNA". It matches the Rfam family "Bacterial small subunit ribosomal RNA", at positions 872 to 1365 of the family's 1533-position model. The record is from RNAcentral.